This 303-nucleotide long non-coding RNA is filed under the name Glycine max (soybean). RNAcentral's name for it is "long non-coding RNA (GMAX_LNC000139)". Lineage: Eukaryota; Viridiplantae; Streptophyta; Magnoliopsida; Fabales; Fabaceae. The record is from RNAcentral.
AUUUGCAGAAUUUGCAGCAACUGAAUUUUUCUUUUUUUUCAUUUCAUUUUUUUUCCAUUUUUUUAAACAGUACGAAUUUGAAGAUUAAAGCAAGAACUAGUCAAUAUAUAUAUACAUCAAGCAUGGCCAAAAUAAAACAUUAAGCAUGGCCAAAAAUCAUAUCUUCCAAUGAAACAUACCCCUUGAUCGAGGUCGUACCCGAAUCAAAUAAAUAUUAAAAUGUAGUAACUAGGAAGUGAUCCUAGGUCGUUUCCCAACGAGCAAUGAUACACCAAAUGUUCAUAACAGAUAGUAGGAAAUAGU